AGAAAAGCAGGGGAUCGCAAGACCUUGCGCUUUUGGAGCGGCCGAUGUCUGAUUAGCUAGUUGAUGAGGUAAAGGCUUACCAAGGCGUCGAUCAGUAGCUGGUCUGAGAGGACGACCAGCCACACUGGGACUGAGACACGGCCCAGACUCCUACGGGAGGCAGCAGUGGGGAAUUUUGGACAAUGGGGGAAACCCUGAUCCAGCCAUGCCGCGUGGAGUGAAGAAGGCCUUCGGGGUUGUAAAGCUCUUUCAGCCGGAACGAAACGGUCACAGCUAAUACCUGUGACUACUGACGGUACCGGAAGAAGAAGCACCGGCUCAAUACGUGCCAGCAGCCGCGGUAAUACGUAGGGUGCGAGCGUUAAUCGGAAUUACUGGGCGUAAAGCGUGCGCAGGCGGUUUUGUAAGUCAGAUGUGAAAUCCCCCGGGCUUAACCUGGGAACUGCGUUUGAAACUACAAGG
RNAcentral lists this ribosomal RNA (462 nucleotides) under uncultured Nitrosospira rt16S-5. RNAcentral describes it as "bacterial SSU rRNA". It matches the Rfam family "Bacterial small subunit ribosomal RNA", at positions 200 to 640 of the family's 1533-position model. The record is from RNAcentral. Lineage: Bacteria; Pseudomonadati; Pseudomonadota; Betaproteobacteria; Nitrosomonadales; Nitrosomonadaceae. RNAcentral also lists the same sequence under 1 other name.